Molecule: ribosomal RNA, 254 nt
Filed under: uncultured bacterium
Lineage: Bacteria
Description: partial 16S ribosomal RNA
Rfam family: Bacterial small subunit ribosomal RNA
Source: RNAcentral
CACGUAGGGGGCGAGCGUUGUCCGGAUUUAUUGGGCGUAAAGAGCUCGUAGGCGGCUGAGUAAGUCGGGUGUGAAAACUCCAGGCUCAACCUGGAGACGCCACCCGAUACUGCUCUGGCUAGAGUCCGGUAGAGGAGUGUGGAAUUCCCAGUGUAGCGGUGAAAUGCAUAGAUAUUGGGAGGAACACCAAUGGCGAAGGCAGCACUCUGGGCCGGUACUGACGCUGAGGAGCGAAAGCGUGGGGAGCGAACAGG